RNAcentral lists this long non-coding RNA (1508 nucleotides) under Homo sapiens (human). Its description in RNAcentral is "HSALNT0234420". Lineage: Eukaryota; Metazoa; Chordata; Mammalia; Primates; Hominidae. The record is from RNAcentral.
CACCAUUCUAGAAUUCUCUGAGUUUUUUGAGCUUAGAGCAGAGUUUCUCAAGAGCUGCAAUACUGGCAUUUGAGUCAAGUCGUUCUUUAUUGUUGGUGGUGGAGGGGGCACCCUGUAUAUUGUAGGACGUUGGGCAGCAUCUCUGACUUCUACCUACUAGAUGCCAGUAUCUCAGUUUUCUUAAAAGACUUUUUUUUUUUUUUUUUUUUUUUUGAGAUGGAGUCUUGCUGUGUUGCCUAGGCUGGAGUGCAGUGGCACCAUGUCGACUCACUGCAACCUCCGCCUCCCCGGUUCAAGCGAUUCUCCUGCCUCAGCCUCCUGAGUAGCUGGGAUUACAGGUGAGCACCACCAUGCCCAGCUAAUCGUAAAAGACUUUUCAUAAAACUUCAGAACUCCUUAAAAACUAGUGAAUAGCCAAGGUGAAGAAAGCCCUCAGGCUUCUGACUUUAGACCCCAAUCCCUGGGACUCCCACACUCAGCAAAGAAAGCUGGGUGCCUGCACCCUGGAUCUCUGAGCAAACCUGUCUUAUGGCUGUGGGCAACUCAGGAACAUGAAUUAGCACGAGAAUCUGGAGUUUUUCUUUCCUUUUCUGGGUCUCACUCUGUCACCCAGGCUGGAGUGCAGUGGCGCAGUCAUGGCUCCCUGUAACCUCAACCUCUCAGACUCCAGCAAUCCUCCUGCGACAGCGAAGUUAAUCUUCUGGUUCGGUUCACAAAGUGCAGGAGAGCCUACCAGCUUGAGAGAAAAGGAGUCAUGCUGUAUUUGUUUCCUUGAGUGAAUGGCCACUCAGCUGCUGUGUUUCUCCCUGCAUGUGGCUGAAGUUUACAUUGGAGGGUGACUUCCUGAUUGCCAGUUAGCAUAUGUGUCCGGCUACCAGCCGCCUGACUGGCUGAGGAUGCUCUUUGUUUGUUCAAGGAUGAACGUUCUCCCCCUGCCUUGCAGGAAGAGGGGAGCAAGGUGCGCCCGGGAGACGCGUGACAGUGCCCUGUAAAGCCAGUAGAGGAAAUCUUGUGGAGUGUGAAUGCACAGGCUUAGAUUCCCCUGUCCCUGAGUCGGGGGCAUGUGCUCGUGGAGAAUGACCCUAUCAAGUUCAAGGUGUGGCAUCUCCUGAUCCAGCAACAGGAUUUGUUCCAGAGAAAAAUCCCCAGGUCUUGGGACUGUUGACAGAUGGCCAUGACUAUGCUUAAUGUGGUCAUCAACUGAGAAUGGUCCGUCUCAUCUUUGAGUAUGCAAUUACCUUUAUAGCUGAUUAUGACACCCUCAGAUCAUAUCAUGAGGUGGACAAGAUGAGUCCAUGGCCCAUGCUGAGAACUGGUACUUCUGUCUUCAUAGACUCACUCACCAACCAGAGAUGUACGACGGACCCCAAAUGGUCUGUCAAAAAUGUGAACUUGCACUAAGACAAGACCCAACAUCAGUGACAUUGGACACAAGAUAGAAAUCAGAGAACAGUUACUGUCCAGCAGUUUUAACCACCAAUACCCAUUUAUUUUAAUGGAAAAAAAAA